RNAcentral lists this ribosomal RNA (301 nucleotides) under uncultured bacterium. RNAcentral's name for it is "partial 16S ribosomal RNA". It matches the Rfam family "Bacterial small subunit ribosomal RNA", at positions 509 to 807 of the family's 1533-position model. The record is from RNAcentral.
CAGUAGCCGCGGGAAUACGAGGGGUGCAAGCGUUAUUCGGAUUGAUUGGGUGUAAAGGGUGUGCAGACGGCUUAUUAAGUCACUUGUUAAAUUCUUCGGCCUAACUGAAGGUCUGCAAGUGAUACUGAUGAGCUAGAGGGUGGAAGAGAGAAGUGGAAUUCUCGGAGUAGCGGUAAAAUGCGUAGAUCUCGAGAGGAACACCAAUGGCGAAGGCAGCUUCUUGGUCCAUCCCUGACGUUCAUACACGAAAGCGUGGGGAGCAAACGGGAUUAGAUACCCCCGUAGUCCCUGUCUCUUAUAC